AACAGUAAGAGUUGAUGUGCGG
RNAcentral lists this microRNA (22 nucleotides) under Gallus gallus (chicken). RNAcentral's name for it is "gga-miR-2184a-5p". The record is from miRBase by way of RNAcentral. Lineage: Eukaryota; Metazoa; Chordata; Aves; Galliformes; Phasianidae.